AUUGAACGCUGGCGGCAUGCUUUACACAUGCAAGUCGAACGGUAACAGGCCGCAAGGUGCUGACGAGUGGCGAACGGGUGAGUAAUGCAUCGGAACGUGCCCAGUCGUGGGGGAUAACUACUCGAAAGAGUAGCUAAUACCGCAUACGAUCUAUGGAUGAAAGCGGGGGACCGUAAGGCCUCGCGCGAUUGGAGCGGCCGAUGUCAGAUUAGGUAGUUGGUGGGGUAAAGGCUCACCAAGCCAACGAUCUGUAGCUGGUCUGAGAGGACGACCCGCCACACUGGGACUGAGACACGGCCCAGACUCCUACGGGAGGCAGCAGUGGGGAAUUUUGGACAAUGGGCGCAAGCCUGAUCCAGCAAUGCCGCGUGCAGGAAGAAGGCCUUCGGGUUGUAAACUGCUUUUGUACGGAACGAAACGGCUCUGGUUAAUACCCGGGGCUAAUGACGGUACCGUAAGAAUAAGCACCGGCUAACUACGUG
This 482-nucleotide ribosomal RNA is filed under the name uncultured bacterium. Its description in RNAcentral is "partial 16S ribosomal RNA". It matches the Rfam family "Bacterial small subunit ribosomal RNA", at positions 30 to 507 of the family's 1533-position model. The record is from RNAcentral.